RNAcentral lists this RNase MRP RNA (282 nucleotides) under Vombatus ursinus (common wombat). Its description in RNAcentral is "RNase MRP (ENSVURG00010014673.1)". It matches the Rfam family "RNase MRP". Rfam says of the family: RNase MRP is an enzymatically active ribonucleoprotein with two distinct roles in eukaryotes. In mitochondria it plays a direct role in the initiation of mitochondrial DNA replication. In the nucleus it is involved in precursor rRNA processing, where it cleaves the internal transcribed spacer 1 between 18S and 5.8S rRNAs. The record is from RNAcentral. Lineage: Eukaryota; Metazoa; Chordata; Mammalia; Diprotodontia; Vombatidae.
GAGGCGCUUGCUGAAGGCCUGUUGCCUAGGCUACGAACGGGGGAUCUGUUCCUCACCCUGCGCCUAGGGGAAAGUCCCCGGACCUCGGGCAGAAAGUGCCGCGCGCGCUUGUGCGUUUGGCCGCCGUCGCAGCUCCAGUACUCCCGCUAAGAAGCACCUCCACUUCCGUGGAAGCGCUGAGCGGAAGGAGCGCGGCGAAGGUCGUGUUUAGUCAAGAAAAUAGUUACGCAGGCAGUGCGCCUCAUGCGCGCUAACUCAACGGGGCUCAUUCUCAGCGCGUCU